Molecule: long non-coding RNA, 1346 nt
Filed under: Danio rerio (zebrafish)
Lineage: Eukaryota; Metazoa; Chordata; Actinopteri; Cypriniformes; Danionidae
Description: si:dkey-234h16.7 (si:dkey-234h16.7)
Source: RNAcentral
GCAUCCUACUCGCCGUUUCGCCACAAUGUCAGCAGCACGCCUGAUCUCCCUCACCGCUUUCUGCAUAACGCUUUUCCAGUCUGGGAGUGCUCAGCUGGGAGAGUCUAAAGUGAACGCCAGACCUUAUGAAAUCCUGCUGAGGCAAAAUCUGGUUCUUCUUCUAAGUGUUCUGUCUACACUGUUGUUGUUCAUGAUUGGUAUGGCAGUAUGUGUCUACAAACCUCUCCGACGCAGGUGACUGACUGGCCCAAUGUGGAUUCAAGACGCCUGGAGUUGAACAUUACUAUGGCGAAGGCCUGAUUCUGAAUAUUAAUGAGCCAAGCUUUCGCUAUUGGACACAAACAGCGCAACGUCAACACGAACUACUAAAUAUUCUGGAUGCAGGGUUACUAUUGGAAGGUUACGAAUCAACGUCAGCUCGACCAAAUGAAUAUUCAAAAUACAAUUAGAAACAGAGUCCUCAAAUCAUAAAAUCCAAUCAAACGAGAGUAGAACUUUAACUGUAAAGUUAAACAUUAUAAUUUAAGUUUUUAAACUGAAUCACUAUUUUAAACAUGUUUAGGAUUGUUUGAUUAUUUGCAGCCAUAGAUGUUUACAUUAGAUGUCGCCUACAAUUUAUGUUGUAUUGAAGGAAUGUGUUAAUAGAGCUGCCAUUUUAGUACAGGGUAGAGCUCCUUUGAAACGAAUGUGGGACCAAGGUGCAGUAGAGGACUGGUCAUGAUUUAUGGUGGACAGUAUGCACAGUGUGGCGCAGGCACUGUUAUGUUAGGCAGCCUUAUAGAUUACUUCAAAAACAGCCAUUACUUCACUUAGCCGACAAUAAUACAAGUUUCUAGCACCACAGUGUCUUGUUCUCAUAUUUUAUUUACAUUGUUUGCUGAUUUUAUUCAACAAAACUAGCAUACGCCUAGGAUUUAGCUGUUUUUUCAGUGCAGUAAGUGUCAUCAAUAACAUUACUACACAAAAGUUUUUAACAUACAAAAUUAUAAAAAAUGAAAUCUUUCCAAUUUAAUUUUAUGUUUUGUUUGCUUGUUACUACACCUGUACACUGUGCAAAAGUCCAGCAUCUUCAGAUCGGCUUUAGUCUUGACUGGUGCGGUUGAAUGACUUUUGUCCUUGGAGCACUGUACCAAUAUGGCGACGUUAUUGAUGCAUGCUCAGAGUCCCUAUGAGAUAUCUAGUGUAUAUAUCUGCUGCUAAGCUAUUAAAUUGUUUACAGUGUGAUUUUUUUUUAUGUAUGAUUUGAUACUAUUUUUAUAUUUUUAUGUGAUUAUAUUGUAUUUAUAUUAUUAAGUUUAUCUGAAUGGUUUUGACAUGUCUGAACUAAUAAAUGAAAGUCGAAACCU